CCACUUUCUCUUAUUGGUGUGAAGUAGUGGGUAAGGUGGCAUUUUCGCGUUGGCCGCCUUGCCAUUAGCGGAAGCAAAAGAUGCUCUCAAGACCAUAAUAUGCUAUUAGUCCCUAAUUUAUCCAGGCUGGUUGUUGGGUGGAUGCUAGGAAAAUACUUUGAUAAUGUUAAAAGCAGCAAUAGUUAGCUAGGCAUUCCACUUUGGUUGCCUUUUUUUAGGGUUUGUUUAUUCUUUCGAUCCUCCCAGAAGGGUCUGCUAGUACUGGGGAGAGCCUGUUGCAAAGACUCCCUACUUUUUGUGCAUGUGUGUUUUUUGCUUUAAAAUAGGGUCCUCUUUGGUCGAUCCCCGUUGGUUGAACACCAAUUGGUGGUCUCUGUCUGAGAUUUAAUUCUUUUUAAACACUCCUUAUAGGCCAUUAUAAUGGCUCUUUUUCACCAAUAAGGAGAUAUUAGGUUGCAAAAGUUGAUUUGUUUAGCAUCUGCCUUUCAUGCUUUGUGCAAAGUAGAGUCCUCAUGAUCUUUAAUAAUUUCAAAGUUUAAUGAGACUUUGCAGGAGGACAGGCGCCAUGCUUCUUCCUUCAGCGUUGUGGGAUUUCAAUUUGGUUUACUUUAUGGUCAUUUGCUUUGCCUCCUUUAUAGUUUAUAGUUUGAUGUGCAGCAUUGGUGAUAGGCUCCAAUGAUAUCGGGUGCUUUAGGAUUGAGAGCAACCUCCAAAUUGAUUGAUAGAUCAAGUAUUGGAUGCUUGCGUCGGCUACAUCCUCUCGAAAACUGGUUUGCUACCGAGGCGCCAGCAUCUUUUAGAAUUUUUAUGGAGUUUUAUGUCAAGAAAUGCACGGAAACGAGUCGGUGGUGGCACGUGCACUGAGACGUAGAGAAACAUAAGGCCUCUGUGUUCCGCAAAUAUGUUGGCCGAUUUGGAGUCCAGGUGUAAAACUUCAGAUAUGGUCUCAGAAUCCGCCGGAAAAACAAGGGUACUUUGGAGGUUUCCUAACUAUUCUAAUCUGAACUGGCAGAUUUAACGUAUUACGAAAAGCAGAUCAUGGGCUGAGGCUCACCAAACAACGUUAAAGAAACCCAGAUUUAUAAAAUUAUUGUGUUUUUUGUAUAAUUAAAAAUGUAUUUUGUGUAGGCGAAAAAUGUAGCGGCGAACCUCCCGAGUCCCAGCGGGCAAGCACACAACCACAAACACAGCCGUCGAAUCAAGGGUUGAAAUUUGAAGCGACUGAUUUAAUUUAAUUUAGUUGGGUUUAAGUUUAAACAAAUCAGAACAAAUUGUUACCCACGAAUUUGUUUGAGAUUGUGGAUGAUAGUUGUAUAAUUAGACAUGUUGGAGUUGAUGCGUUCCAGCUGCUUUUGCCUACUCUAUGGACUUUGGCUUUCAUUUUCA
This is a long non-coding RNA of Pyrus x bretschneideri (Chinese white pear), 1386 nucleotides long. RefSeq lists it as uncharacterized. Lineage: Eukaryota; Viridiplantae; Streptophyta; Magnoliopsida; Rosales; Rosaceae. The transcript has 2 exons. The record is from RefSeq and is a predicted model, not a curated record.